Molecule: ribosomal RNA, 494 nt
Filed under: uncultured bacterium
Lineage: Bacteria
Description: partial 16S ribosomal RNA
Rfam family: Bacterial small subunit ribosomal RNA
Source: RNAcentral
GACGAACGCUGGCGGCGCGCUUAACACAUGCAAGUCGAACGGAAAGGCCUGCUUUCCCUUGUGGAUUGCGGGUACUCGAGUGGCGAACGGGUGAGUAGCACGUGAGUGAUCUGCCCCCAACUUGGGUAUAAGCCUGGGAAACUGGGUCUAAUUCCCGAUAGGACUGCAGGGUGGUGCCUGUGGUGGAAAACGAUUUUCUAGUGGUUGGGGAUGAGCUCGCGGCCUAUCAGCUUGUUGGUGGGGUAAUGGCCUACCACGGCGGCGACGGGUAGCCGGCCUGAGAGGGUGGACGGCCACAGUGGGACUGAGAUACGGCCCAGACUCCUACGGGAGGCAGCAGUGGGGAAUAUUGCACAAUGGGCGGAAGCCUGAUGCAGCGACGCCGCGUGGGGGAUGACGGCCUUCGGGUUGUAAACUCCUUUCGACCGCGAGGAAGCCACCUGGUUGGAAGGGUGGUGACGGUAGUGGUAGAAGAAGCACCGGCUAACUACGUG